UAAGGAAUAUUGCGCAAUGGGCGAAAGCCUGACGCAGCGACGCCGCGUGGGGGAUGAAGGCCUUCGGGUUGUAAACCCCUUUCAGCAGGGACGAAGCGAGAGUGACGGUACCUGCAGAAGAAGCGCCGGCUAACUACGUGCCAGCAGCCGCGGUAACACGUAGGGCGCAAGCGUUGUCCGGAAUUAUUGGGCGUAAAGAGCUCGUAGGCGGUCUGCUACGUCCGCUGUGAAAACCUAGGGCUUAACCCUGGGCUUGCAGUAGAUACGGGCAGACUAGAGGUAGGUAGGGGAGAAUGGAAUUCCCGGUGUAGCGGUGAAAUGCGCAGAUAUCGGGAGGAACACCGGUGGCGAAGGCGGUUCUCUGGGCCUUACCUGACGCUGAGGAGCGAAAGCGUGGGGAGCAAAC
Molecule: ribosomal RNA, 406 nt
Filed under: uncultured bacterium
Lineage: Bacteria
Description: bacterial SSU rRNA
Rfam family: Bacterial small subunit ribosomal RNA
Source: RNAcentral